GGCGGGGUAGCUCAGUGGUAGAGCAUGCGGCUCAUAAUCGCAGUGUCGGCGGUUCGAUCCCGCCCCCCGCUACGA
RNAcentral lists this transfer RNA (75 nucleotides) under Actinomycetes bacterium. RNAcentral describes it as "Actinobacteria bacterium tRNA-Met". It matches the Rfam family "tRNA". Rfam says of the family: Transfer RNA (tRNA) molecules are approximately 80 nucleotides in length. Their secondary structure includes four short double-helical elements and three loops (D, anti-codon, and T loops). The record is from RNAcentral. Lineage: Bacteria; Bacillati; Actinomycetota; Actinomycetes.